Mauremys reevesii (Reeves's turtle) is the source of this 864-nucleotide long non-coding RNA. RefSeq lists it as uncharacterized. The transcript has 7 exons. NCBI's taxonomy places the organism in Eukaryota, Metazoa, Chordata, Testudines, Geoemydidae. The record is from RefSeq and is a predicted model, not a curated record.
GCGGUUGGCUGUGGGGGCUGUCGCGGGGAGCCGUGUAAAGCGGGGGGGCGGAGCGCCAGUGGGAACGGGGCCCCAGUGAGUGACCCGCUUUCGGGGUGCACGGAUCCUGCUGGCUCCUUCCUCUUCAAAUCGGCCAUUUUAAAGGGCGAAAGUAUAUAAAGAGAUUGUGGCAUGAAAGGAGAUUUGAUCCUGAAAAUGAGACACUGGGGGGGCAGAUGUGAAUACUGCAGACACAGGAGUUUUCUCCUAGAGCUGAGAAUCAAAAGAUAACAUGGUCCCAGAAGUCUGCAUCCUAGACAUGAGUUGCUCUUGAGGAAGGACGACAGCACUAAUUUCCUUUGAAAUGGUGUAAUGUAAAUGCUGUUGAAGCUGGCAGUGAGGAAAAUACCAACCUUCCUAAGGAUUAAACAGACGAGCAUGGACACCUCAGUUGAGCUCAACGUUACUUUAUCAGAGCCACAAUCAGAAGUAUCAAACCAGAUGUGCGUGAGGAGCAGUAUGAUGUACCUUCCUGGGCUACAGAAGUAUUGCAAUGUCUAGCACUAUAUUUUGAGGGUGGCAUUUAUUUGAAGUUCUUAUUCUAAUAUGCUGGGGUACUUUGUUUGCAGAUGAUGCCUGUAAGUUUGUGUUUUCUAACACGCCUGGCAGCACCAAAAGAAACCAUUUGGGGUCUCUGCACUUGAAGUUUGCUAGAUAUAUCUUCAGCCUCUGCCAUGCACUGGCUCAAAGACGCUGCAAGCACUACAGACAGUGAAUGUGAAUAUAAUAUGCGAUGAUGUAAAUAUAUUCUUUGCAACUCUAAAUGUUCUCUGUAACCUGUUUAGCCAAGGUGCAAUAAAGAAUAAAUAGCUAUUCUGAUCUUCA